This 73-nucleotide transfer RNA is filed under the name Nilaparvata lugens (brown planthopper). Its description in RNAcentral is "tRNA-Asp". It matches the Rfam family "tRNA". From Rfam's summary of the family: Transfer RNA (tRNA) molecules are approximately 80 nucleotides in length. Their secondary structure includes four short double-helical elements and three loops (D, anti-codon, and T loops). The record is from RNAcentral. Lineage: Eukaryota; Metazoa; Arthropoda; Insecta; Hemiptera; Delphacidae.
GCAGCGGUAGUUCAGUGGUUAGAAUACCGGCCUGUCACGCCGGGGGUCGCGGGUUCGAGCCCCGUCCGCUGCG